Molecule: ribosomal RNA, 459 nt
Filed under: uncultured bacterium
Lineage: Bacteria
Description: partial 16S ribosomal RNA
Rfam family: Bacterial small subunit ribosomal RNA
Source: RNAcentral
CCUACGGGUGGCAGCAGUGAGGAAUAUUGGUCAAUGGGCGCGAGCCUGAACCAACCAAGUCGCGUGAGGGAAGACGGUCCUAUGGAUUGUAAACCUCUUUUGUCGGGGAGCAAAAGACGCCACGCGUGGCGUUCCGCGAGUACCCGAAGAAAAAGCAUCGGCUAACUCCGUGCCAGCAGCCGCGGUAAUACGGAGGAUGCGAGCGUUAUCCGGAUUUAUUGGGUUUAAAGGGUGCGCAGGCGGAAGAUCAAGUCAGCGGUAAAAUUGAGAGGCUCAACCUCUUCGAGCCGUUGAAACUGGUUGUCUUGAGUGAGUGAGAAGUAUGCGGAAUGCGUGGUGUAGCGGUGAAAUGCAUAGAUAUCACGCAGAACUCCGAUUGCGAAGGCAGCAUACCGGCGCGCAACUGACGCUCAUGCACGAAAGUGUGGGUAUCGAACAGGAUUAGAUACCCUGGUAGUC